UGGGGAAUUUUGGACAAUGGGCGAAAGCCUGAUCCAGCAAUGCCGCGUGUGUGAAGAAGGCCUUCGGGUUGUAAAGCACUUUUGUCCGGAAAGAAAUCCUUGGCUCUAAUACAGUCGGGGGAUGACGGUACCGGAAGAAUAAGCACCGGCUAACUACGUGCCAGCAGCCGCGGUAAUACGUAGGGUGCAAGCGUUAAUCGGAAUUACUGGGCGUAAAGCGUGCGCAGGCGGCUUGCUAAGACCGAUGUGAAAUCCCCGGGCUCAACCUGGGAACUGCAUUGGUGACUGGCAGGCUAGAGUAUGGCGGAGGGGGGUAGAAUUCCACGUGUAGCAGUGAAAUGCGUAGAGAUGUGGAGGAAUACCGAUGGCGAAGGCAGCCCCCUGGGCCAAUACUGACGCUCAUGCACGAAAGCGUGGGGAGCAAACAGGAUUAGAUACCCUGGUAGUCCACGCCCUAAACGAUGUCAACUAGUUGUUGGGGAUUCAUUUCCUUAGUAACGUAGCUAACGCGUGAAGUUGACCGCCUGGGGAGUACGGUCGCAAGAUUAAAACUUAAAGGAAUUGACGGGGUCAUA
Molecule: ribosomal RNA, 575 nt
Filed under: uncultured bacterium
Lineage: Bacteria
Description: partial 16S ribosomal RNA
Rfam family: Bacterial small subunit ribosomal RNA
Source: RNAcentral